UACGGGAGGCAGCAGGGGGGAAUAUUGCACAAUGAGCGAAAGCUUGAUGCAGCGACGCCGCGUGAGGGAUGACGGCUUUCGGGUUGUAAACCUCUUUCGGCAGGGAACAAGGCCGCAUGUUUGUGUGGUUGAGGGUACCUGCAUAAGAAGCGCCGGCUAACUACGUGCCAGCAGCCGCGGUAAUACGUAGGGCGCGAGCGUUGUCCGGAAUUAUUGGGCGUAAAGAGCUCGUAGGCGGCUUGUCGCGUCUGCUGUGAAAACGCGGGGCUUAACUCCGCGCUUGCAGUGGUACGGGCAGGCUUGAGUGUAGUAGGGGAGACUGGAAUUCCUGGUGUAGCGGUGGAAUGCGCAGAUAUCAGGAGGAACACCGGAUGGGCGAAGGCAGGUCUCUGGGGCUAUAACUGACGCUGAGGAGCGAAAGCAUGGGGAGCGAACAGGGAUUAGAAUAACC
Molecule: ribosomal RNA, 451 nt
Filed under: uncultured bacterium
Lineage: Bacteria
Description: bacterial SSU rRNA
Rfam family: Bacterial small subunit ribosomal RNA
Source: RNAcentral